GGAAUUUUGGACAAUGGGCGAAAGCCUGAUCCAGCAAUGCCUCGUGCAGGAAGAAGGCCUUCGGGUUGUAAACUGCUUUUGUACGGAACGAAACGGUCCUUUCUAAUAAAGAGGGCUAAUGACGGUACCGUAAGAAUAAGCACCGGCUAACAAGGUGCCAGCAGCCGCGGUAAUACGUAGGGUGCGAGCGUUAAUCGGAAUUACUGGGCGUAAAGCGUGCGCAGGCGGUUCUAUAAGACAGAUGUGAAAUCCCCGGGCUCAACCUGGGAAUGGCAUUUGUGACUGUAGAGCUAGAGUACGGUAGAGGGGGAUGGAAUUCCGCGUGUAGCAGUGAAAUGCGUAGAUAUGCGGAGGAACACCGAUGGCGAAGGCAAUCCCCUGGACCUGUACUGACGCUCAUGCACGAAAGCGUGGGGAGCAAACA
This 424-nucleotide ribosomal RNA is filed under the name uncultured bacterium. RNAcentral's name for it is "bacterial SSU rRNA". It matches the Rfam family "Bacterial small subunit ribosomal RNA", at positions 358 to 774 of the family's 1533-position model. The record is from RNAcentral.